RNAcentral lists this ribosomal RNA (394 nucleotides) under Badhamia albescens. RNAcentral's name for it is "SSU rRNA". It matches the Rfam family "Eukaryotic small subunit ribosomal RNA", at positions 76 to 405 of the family's 1831-position model. The record is from RNAcentral. Lineage: Eukaryota; Evosea; Eumycetozoa; Physariida; Physaraceae.
UCUCUCUGAAUCUGCGAACGGCUCCGCAUACCAGUUGUAAACCAUAGCGAGCAAACCGUGACGACGUCGCAAGGCGUCGUCGCGGUUAAUAAGGAUAACCCUGGUAAUUCUGAGGCUAAUACAAGAACGUACAACCCGUCCGACCCGCAAGGGGAGGGGGGGGAAUGUGUGACCAGGCACGCAAAUUCGAAACUGGGAGUGGCCACACGUUCAGACCGCCAUACCAAACAGUUGUUCGCUUCGAAAGUCCUCGUGACGAGUAACGGCGGGUUUCUGGGCGGCUCUCGCUGUGUGCUUCUGACCUAUCAACUAGAUGGCAGCGUAACGGACAUGCUAUGGUGACAACGGGUACAGAGGAUAAGGGUUCGAUCCUGGAGAGUGGGCCUGAGAGAUU